This 264-nucleotide ribosomal RNA is filed under the name Triticum aestivum (bread wheat). RNAcentral's name for it is "partial small subunit ribosomal RNA". Lineage: Eukaryota; Viridiplantae; Streptophyta; Magnoliopsida; Poales; Poaceae. The record is from RNAcentral.
AUGGUGACGCUACUGGUGGUUCUGCAGCUGCUCGUGGCGGCAGCUCCGCGGGCCAUGGCUCGCUCACCACCAGAGGAGAUGGAAAAGGUGGCGGCGCAGUCAAAAAAGAUAGCGAUCGAGCGCCUCGUCCUGAAAGCACCUCGGGGAGACGCCAGAUGCGCUGACGAAACAUGCUAUACUGGUUUUUGCUUCGUCGUCGCUGGUUGCAGCUGCCAGUAUCCCUACUGUCGGAAGCCUCGCGUUCCAACGCCAGUUUAUGCUUGA